GCUGAUGAUGAUGUAAUCCAAUUAAAUGAGGUGUAGUGGAUCCAAGUCCCUGCUUUUGCAGGGUGAACCUCUUGGUGAAACUACAUUACAUAUGAUUAUAUUGGAUUUUACUGAGGC
Molecule: small nucleolar RNA, 117 nt
Organism: Lycium ferocissimum
Lineage: Eukaryota; Viridiplantae; Streptophyta; Magnoliopsida; Solanales; Solanaceae
Product: small nucleolar RNA Z278
Exons: 1
Source: RefSeq, a predicted model, not a curated record